UACGUAGGGACCAAGCGUUGUCCGGAUUCAUUGGGCGUAAAGAGCUCGUAGGCGGUUCGAUAAGUCGGGUGUGAAACCUCCAGGCCCAACCUGGAGACGCCACCCGAUACUGUCGUGACUAGAGUCCAGUAGGGGAGCGUGGAAUUCCUGGUGUAGCGGUGAAAUGCGCAGAUAUCAGGAGGAACACCAGCGGCGAAGGCGGCGCUCUGGGCUGGAACUGACGCUGAGGAGCGAAAGCGUGGGGAGCGAACAGG
RNAcentral lists this ribosomal RNA (254 nucleotides) under uncultured bacterium. RNAcentral's name for it is "partial 16S ribosomal RNA". It matches the Rfam family "Bacterial small subunit ribosomal RNA", at positions 524 to 776 of the family's 1533-position model. The record is from RNAcentral.